RNAcentral lists this ribosomal RNA (493 nucleotides) under uncultured bacterium. RNAcentral's name for it is "partial 16S ribosomal RNA". It matches the Rfam family "Bacterial small subunit ribosomal RNA", at positions 28 to 507 of the family's 1533-position model. The record is from RNAcentral.
GACGAACGCUGGCGGCGUGCUUAACACAUGCAAGUCGAACGGUGAAGGGACCGGUUUUUGCUGGUUCUGGAUGAGUGGCGAACGGGUGAGUAACACGUGAGUAACCUGCCCCCUUCUUCUGGAUAACCGCAUGAAAGUGUGGCUAAUACGGGAUAUUCUGCGCCUGCUGCAUGGUGGGUGUGGGAAAGAUAUUGUUUCGGUGGGGGAUGGGCUCGCGGCCUAUCAGCUUGUUGGUGGGGUGAUGGCCUACCAAGGCGGUGACGGGUAGCCGGCCUGAGAGGGUGGACGGUCACACUGGGACUGAGACACGGCCCAGACUCCUACGGGAGGCAGCAGUGGAGAAUAUUGCACAAUGGGCGCAAGCCUGAUGCAGCGACGCCGCGUGAGGGAUGGAGGCCUUCGGGUUGUAAACCUCUUUCGCCAGUGAAGCAGGCCUGUCCCUUUUGUGGGUGGGUUGACGGUAGCUGGAUAAGAAGCGCCGGCUAACUACGUG